AACGAACGCUGGCGGCAUGCCUAACACAUGCAAGUCGAACGAGACCUUCGGGUCUAGUGGCGCACGGGUGCGUAACGCGUGGUAACCUGCCCUUAGGUUCGGAAUAACUCCCCGAAAGGGGUGCUAAUACCGGAUAAUGUCUUCGGCCCAAAGAUUUAUCGCCUUUGGAUGGGCCCGCGUUGGAUUAGCUAGUUGGUAGGGUAAAAGCCUACCAAGGCGACGAUCCAUAGCUGGUCUGAGAGGAUGAUCAGCCACACUGGGACUGAGACACGGCCCAGACUCCUACGGGAGGCAGCAGUGGGGAAUAUUGGACAAUGGGCGAAAGGCUGAUGCAGCAAGGCCGCGUGAGUGAUGAAGGCCUGAGGGUUGUAAAGCUCUUUUACCCGGGAUGAUAAUGACAGUACCGGGAGAAUAAGCUCCGGCUAACUCCGUG
Molecule: ribosomal RNA, 433 nt
Filed under: uncultured bacterium
Lineage: Bacteria
Description: partial 16S ribosomal RNA
Rfam family: Bacterial small subunit ribosomal RNA
Source: RNAcentral